Oryzias latipes (Japanese medaka) is the source of this 391-nucleotide non-coding RNA. The record is from RefSeq and is a predicted model, not a curated record. Lineage: Eukaryota; Metazoa; Chordata; Actinopteri; Beloniformes; Adrianichthyidae.
GCUCUGCUCCUGACUCAGAGCUGUUUCUUCUCAUCUCAUCAUCUCACCUGCCAUUUAAGGAGGACCUCCACAAGCAGUCUUUGCCAGUCUGCCUUUUUCCACGAGAGAAACCCGAGUCCGCAUUCCACCUCGAGCAGAAGCUGAAACCCUCCACGCUCCUCAAGAACUCCAGCCACGCCACCGCCAAGAACUCCUGCCACGCCUCAGCCUUUUACUCCAGCCACGUCGCGGUCUAAGGCACUCCAUUCACGCCGCAGUCAAGAGCUCCAGUCACGCCACAGUAAAGUUCCCGCACUCACCGUUAGUCGAGGAAUCCUCGUCAAGCUCCACGCCCCGUCCUGUUCCUGGAUCCGCUGGCUCUUUCAAAAUAAAACCAAUUCCUUACCAUUCA